GUAGGGAAUCUUCCACAAUGGACGCAAGUCUGAUGGAGCAACGCCGCGUGAGUGAAGAAGGUUUUCGGAUCGUAAAGCUCUGUUGUUGGUGAAGAAAGAUAGUGAGAGUAACUGCUCAUUAUUUGCCGGUAAUCAACCAGAAAGUCACGGCUAACUACGUGCCAGCAGCCGCGGUAAUACGUAGGUGGCAAGCGUUGUCCGGAUUUAUUGGGCGUAAAGCGAGCGCAGGCGGAAAGAUAAGUCAGAUGUGAAAGCCCUCGGCUUAACCGAGGAAUAGCAUCGGAAACUGUCUUUCUUGAGUGCAGAAGAGGAGAGUGGAACUCCAUGUGUAGCGGUGGAAUGCGUAGAUAUAUGGAAGAACACCAGUGGCGAAGGCGGCUCUCUGGUCUGUAACUGACGCUGAGGCUCGAAAGCAUGGGUAGCGAACAGGAUUAGAAACCCUAGUAGUCCC
RNAcentral lists this ribosomal RNA (451 nucleotides) under uncultured bacterium. RNAcentral describes it as "bacterial SSU rRNA". It matches the Rfam family "Bacterial small subunit ribosomal RNA", at positions 354 to 797 of the family's 1533-position model. The record is from RNAcentral.